AGUGAACGCUGGCGGUAGGCCUAACACAUGCAAGUCGAACGGCAGCACAGUAAGAGCUUGCUCUUACGGGUGGCGAGUGGCGGACGGGUGAGGAAUACAUCGGAAUCUACUUUUUCGUGGGGGAUAACGUAGGGAAACUUACGCUAAUACCGCAUACGACCUACGGUUGAAAGCAGGGGAUCUUCGGACCUUGCGCGAUUGAAUGAGCCGAUGUCGGAUUAGCUAGUUGGCGGGGUAAAGGCCCACCAAGGCGACGAUCCGUAGCUGGUCUGAGAGGAUGAUCAGCCACACUGGAACUGAGACACGGUCCAGACUCCUACGGGAGGCAGCAGUGGGGAAUAUUGGACAAUGGGCGCAAGCCUGAUCCAGCCAUACCGCGUGGGUGAAGAAGGCCUUCGGGUUGUAAAGCCCUUUUGUUGGGAAAGAAAAGCAGCAGGUUAAUACCACGCUGUUCUGACGGUACCCAAAGAAUAAGCACUGGCUAACUUCGUG
Molecule: ribosomal RNA, 492 nt
Filed under: uncultured bacterium
Lineage: Bacteria
Description: partial 16S ribosomal RNA
Rfam family: Bacterial small subunit ribosomal RNA
Source: RNAcentral